AACGCACCUUGCGCUCCCUGGUAUUCCGGGGAGCACACCUGUUCGAGUGUUAUGAAACUAUCAAACAAGAUAGAUUUGUUUCUAUCUCUGUUUGUAUUUGGAUUUUGCUGCGUCAAUGCGGCUGGUCUGAAAUGUAUUAGCUGAUCCUAGUGAAGGAUCUGGUUCUACUCGGCAUGAUAAUUAUCUGAUGUUGAGGACGGUCUCAAGACUGGCCAGGCUUUCUGUGGGUUGCUUCUAAUUGUCUUUGGACAAAUUAUCCAGUAUUUGACCUCGAAUCAGGUGGGACUACCCGCUGAACUUAA
RNAcentral lists this unclassified non-coding RNA (302 nucleotides) under uncultured Sistotrema. Its description in RNAcentral is "sequence contains ITS2". The record is from RNAcentral. Lineage: Eukaryota; Fungi; Basidiomycota; Agaricomycetes; Corticiales; Corticiaceae.